Raphanus sativus (radish) is the source of this 650-nucleotide long non-coding RNA. RefSeq lists it as uncharacterized. NCBI's taxonomy places the organism in Eukaryota, Viridiplantae, Streptophyta, Magnoliopsida, Brassicales, Brassicaceae. The transcript is spliced from 2 exons. The record is from RefSeq and is a predicted model, not a curated record.
AUUGUUUCCUAUUGGUCUAUCAGAAAAGGUGCGGAUCGCCCUUUUUUAAAUCUUGGCCAUUGGUAGAUGGUAAUCUAACUGAUCAGGAAGAUUUACGUUAUUAAUUUGUUCAUUGUUUUUUCUCUUUCUUACUCCAUCUCCAUCUCCAUCUCCAUUCUUAUGCUUCUUCUAUUCCCUUCACUUCCAUCAAUGAAAAAGGAAAAGGCACAACAAGCAUCGAUCUCGAUCACGUUUUGCUUCUCUCUCUCCGAAACUACCUUCGACGAUCUGAAGAAGUGGCAGUGUGAUGAACCAAAGGUGUGGCGUAACGAAUCGGUGUCGUGAUGAACCGGUGGUUGUGGCAUGACGAUUCAGUGACCUGAUAGACGGGAGGUGGUGGCGUAAGGACUCGGUUGCUCAUAUCGUCACAACUUUAUCUCGUAACUCUCUCAAGCUCUUCAUCUGAAUCAAGCUCGUCACCCAAGGUUGUUGUUGGUCUCCUCGUUGCCGGAUCCAAGCUUGGCACCGACUCAAGCUCACAGCCUAUUUCGCCACCGGAUUCAAGCUCACCGCAGAUCUCGGGCUCGAAGUUGUGAUUUUUUUAUAUUGAAAUUAAUUGUAUUAUAUUUUGUGAUUAAUCGAUUUUGAAUAUAACAAAAUAGUUAUUUUUA